GACCCACCUGACUCCAUUCCGAACUCAGAAGUGAAAUGAAAUAGCGCCGAUGGUAGUGUGGGGCUUCCCCAUGUGAGAGUAGGACAUCGCCAGGC
RNAcentral lists this ribosomal RNA (95 nucleotides) under Vibrio parahaemolyticus. The record is from RNAcentral. Lineage: Bacteria; Pseudomonadati; Pseudomonadota; Gammaproteobacteria; Vibrionales; Vibrionaceae.